Molecule: ribosomal RNA, 466 nt
Filed under: uncultured bacterium
Lineage: Bacteria
Description: partial 16S ribosomal RNA
Rfam family: Bacterial small subunit ribosomal RNA
Source: RNAcentral
GACGAACGCUGGCGGCGUGCUUAACACAUGCAAGUCGAACGGAAAGGCCCUUCUUUGGUGGGGUACUCGAGUGGCGAACGGGUGAGUAACACGUGGGUAACCUGCCCUGCACUUUGGGAUAACUUCGGGAAACUGGGGCUAAUACCGGAUAGGACCUCCUUCUGCAUGCUGUUGUUGGAAGAUUUUGCGGUGUGGGAUGUGCUCGCGGCUUAUCAGCUUGUUGGUGGGGUAGUGGCGUACCAAGGCGUCGACGGGUAGCCGGCCUGAGAGGGUGUACGGCCACAUUGGGACUGAGAUACGGCCCAGACUCCUACGGGAGGCAGCAGUGGGGAAUAUUGCACAAUGGGCGGAAGCCUGAUGCAGCAACGCCGCGUGCGGGAUGACGGCCUUCGGGUUGUAAACCGCUUUCGCCUGUGACGAAGCGUGAGUGACGGUAAUGGGUAAAGAAGCACCGGCUAACUACGUG